Molecule: ribosomal RNA, 472 nt
Filed under: uncultured bacterium
Lineage: Bacteria
Description: partial 16S ribosomal RNA
Rfam family: Bacterial small subunit ribosomal RNA
Source: RNAcentral
AUUGAACGCUGGCGUCAGGCCUAACACAUGCAAGUCGAGCGGGGACUUCGGUCCUAGCGGCGAACGGGUGAGUAAUGCUUGGGAAUCUGCCCAGUAGUGGGGGAUAACGUCCCGAAAGGGACGCUAAUACCGCAUACGUCCUACGGGAGAAAGAGGGGGAUCUUCGGACCUCUCGCUAUUGGAUGAGCCCAAGUCGGAUUAGCUAGUUGGUAGGGUAAUGGCCUACCAAGGCGACGAUCCGUAGCUGGUCUGAGAGGAUGAUCAGCCACACUGGAACUGAGACACGGUCCAGACUCCUACGGGAGGCAGCAGUGGGGAAUAUUGGACAAUGGGCGAAAGCCUGAUCCAGCCAUGCCGCGUGUGUGAAGAAGGCCUUCGGGUUGUAAAGCACUUUAAGCGGGGAGGAAGGUUCGCGGCCUAAUACGUCGCGGAAUUGACGUUACCCGCAGAAUAAGCACCGGCUAACUCUGUG